ACGAGAAUAAUUCUGCAAAUCAUAUGAGAAGUAUGCAGAGGUACAAAAGAGUUCACUAAGGGCUUUCAGAACUGCAUAUUGCAGUGGAAGGAAUAAGCUCAUGUGUUACAAAGCUAUCCAAAAUCAAAGUAGUGCUCCAUUUUCAUAUGGUUUGUAAAACUAAUCACUCCUAAGAGAGGUUUGUUAUGGUGCCCAAGUUGAAGUCAUUCAUGAAGGCACACCUGAAAGAUGCUGCAGAAAAGUCUAAUGCUGCAACAGAAGCUUUGUUAACAGAGCUUGCUCUUGAUGCCAAGGAAAAGGGAUCACGGAAAUGCUAAGGUUUUGAGUUGCUGGUGGUGAGGAGAAGCAUCCAACAAGUGUGCCUUUCGUCUCCUCUGAACCUAAGCAAGAUGUUGGUUUAAGUGAGCUGCAGCAUCGGAGUCAAUCUGGGCCAGUCCCUUUGCCUUUCAGCGGUAUACAAUUUGGUAGUGUCAAAUCGGAUAAGAAAUCAAAAGAUAAACUUGAACAACAACCUCUGAGGCAAGUGAAGUUGAUUAGCAUAUUUGCUUUUUUCAAAUAAUUCUACUUAGCAAAGAC
Corylus avellana is the source of this 576-nucleotide non-coding RNA. NCBI's taxonomy places the organism in Eukaryota, Viridiplantae, Streptophyta, Magnoliopsida, Fagales, Betulaceae. The record is from RefSeq and is a predicted model, not a curated record.